UGAGGAAUAUUGGGCAAUGGGCGCAAGCCUGACCCAGCCAUGCCGCGUGCAGGAUGACUGCCCUAUGGGUUGUAAACUGCUUUUAUACGGGAAGAAAGAUUUCUACGUGUAGAGAUUUGACGGUACCGUAAGAAUAAGCAUCGGCUAACUCCGUGCCAGCAGCCGCGGUAAUACGGAGGAUGCAAGCGUUAUCCGGAUUCAUUGGGUUUAAAGGGUGCGUAGGCGGAAUGUUAAGUCAGUGGUGAAAUCCUGCAGCUCAACUGUAGAACUGCCAUUGAUACUGAUAUUCUUGAAUGUAGUUGAGGUAGGCGGAAUGAGUAAUGUAGCGGUGAAAUGCUUAGAUAUUACUCAGAACACCGAUUGCGAAGGCAGCUUACUAAACUAUGAUUGACGCUGAGGCACGAAAGCGUGGGGAGCGAACA
Molecule: ribosomal RNA, 422 nt
Filed under: uncultured bacterium
Lineage: Bacteria
Description: bacterial SSU rRNA
Rfam family: Bacterial small subunit ribosomal RNA
Source: RNAcentral